RNAcentral lists this ribosomal RNA (253 nucleotides) under uncultured bacterium. Its description in RNAcentral is "partial 16S ribosomal RNA". It matches the Rfam family "Bacterial small subunit ribosomal RNA", at positions 524 to 776 of the family's 1533-position model. The record is from RNAcentral.
UACAGAGGUCUCAAGCGUUGUUCGGAUUCAUUGGGCGUAAAGGGUGCGUAGGCGGCGCGGUAAGUCGGGUGUGAAAUCUUGGAGCUUAACUCCGAAGCUGCAUUCGAUACUGCCGUGCUUGAGGACUGGAGAGGAGACUGGAAUUUACGGUGUAGCGGUGAAAUGCGUAGAUAUCGUAAGGAAGACCAGUGGCGAAGGCGGGUCUCUGGACAGUUCCUGACGCUGCGGCACGAAGGCCAGGGGAGCAAACGGG